GCCUUAAACCUAGGUGUAUUUUUACACAUGCACCCGCCCGGGCACUACGAGCACAGCUUAAAACCCAAAGGACUUGGCGGUGCCUCAGACCCACCUAGAGGAGCCUGUUCUAGAACCGAUAAUCCUCGUUAAACCUCACCACUUCUUGUUUUACCCGCCUAUAUACCGCCGUCGUCAGCUUACCCUGUGAAGGCCCAACAGUAAGCAAAACUGGUCAGCCCAAAAACGUCAGGUCGAGGUGUAGCGUACGAAGUGGGAAGAAAUGGGCUACAUUUUCUAAUAAUAGACUAUAACGAAUAGCACGCUGAAACACGUGCUUAAAGGUGGAUUUAGCAGUAAAAAGUAAAUAGAGAGUUCUUUUGAACCCGGCUCUGAAGCGCGC
This 382-nucleotide ribosomal RNA is filed under the name Tandanus tandanus (eel-tailed catfish). Its description in RNAcentral is "partial 12S ribosomal RNA". It matches the Rfam family "Bacterial small subunit ribosomal RNA", at positions 799 to 1384 of the family's 1533-position model. Lineage: Eukaryota; Metazoa; Chordata; Actinopteri; Siluriformes; Plotosidae. The record is from RNAcentral.